UGCCUGAUGGAGGGGGAUAACUACUGGAAACGGUAGCUAAUACCGCAUAACGUCGCAAGACCAAAGAGGGGGACCUUCGGGCCUCUUGCCAUCGGAUGUGCCCAGAUGGGAUUAGCUAGUAGGUGGGGUAACGGCUCACCUAGGCGACGAUCCCUAGCUGGUCUGAGAGGAUGACCAGCCACACUGGAACUGAGACACGGUCCAGACUCCUACGGGAGGCAGCAGUGGGGAAUAUUGCACAAUGGGCGCAAGCCUGAUGCAGCCAUGCCGCGUGUAUGAAGAAGGCCUUCGGGUUGUAAAGUACUUUCAGCGGGGAGGAAGGGAGUAAAGUUAAUACCUUUGCUCAUUGACGUUACCCGCAGAAGAAGCACCGGCUAACUCCGUGCCAGCAGCCGCGGUAAUACGGAGGGUGCAAGCGUUAAUCGGAAUUACUGGGCGUAAAGCGCACGCAGGCGGUUUGUUAAGUCAGAUGUGAAAUCCCCCGGGCUCAA
This 491-nucleotide ribosomal RNA is filed under the name Escherichia coli. Its description in RNAcentral is "bacterial SSU rRNA". It matches the Rfam family "Bacterial small subunit ribosomal RNA", at positions 127 to 612 of the family's 1533-position model. Lineage: Bacteria; Pseudomonadati; Pseudomonadota; Gammaproteobacteria; Enterobacterales; Enterobacteriaceae. The record is from RNAcentral.